This 514-nucleotide ribosomal RNA is filed under the name uncultured bacterium. Its description in RNAcentral is "partial 16S ribosomal RNA". It matches the Rfam family "Bacterial small subunit ribosomal RNA", at positions 355 to 874 of the family's 1533-position model. The record is from RNAcentral.
UGGGGAAUAUUGCACAAUGGGCGAAAGCCUGAUGCAGCAACGCCGCGUGAGGGACGACGGCCUUCGGGUUGUAAACCUCUUUUAGCAAGGAAGAAGCGAAAGUGACGGUACUUGCAGAAAAACGCGCCGGCUAACUACGUGCCAGCAGCCGCGGUAAUACGUAGGGCGCAAGCGUUAUCCGGAAUUAUUGGGCGUAAAGAGCUCGUAGGCGGUUUGUCGCGUCUGCUGUGAAAAACCCGAGGCUCAACCUCGGGCCUGCAGUGGGUACGGGCAGACUAGAGUGCGGUAGGGGAGAUUGGAACUCCUGGUGUAGCGGUGGAAUGCGCAGAUAUCAGGAAGAACACCGAUGGCGAAGGCAGAUCUCUGGGCCGUAACUGACGCUGAGGAGCGAAAAGGGUGGGGAGCAAAACAGGCUUAGAUACCCUGGUAGUCCACCCCGUAAACGUUGGGAACUAGUUGUGGGGUCCAUUCCAACGGAUUCCGUGACGCAGCUAACGCAUUAAGUUCCCCGCCU